GACGAACGCUGGCGGCGUGCUUAACACAUGCAAGUCGAGCGGUAAGGCCCUUUCGGGGGUACACGAGCGGCGAACGGGUGAGUAACACGUGGGUGACCUGCCCUCGGCUCUGGGAUAAGCCUGGGAAACCGGGUCUAAUACCGGAUAUGACUCCAUGACGCAUGUUGUGGGGUGGAAAGCCUUGUGCGGCUGAGGAUGGGCCCGCGGCCUAUCAGCUUGUUGGUGGGGUGAGGCCUACCAAGGCGACGACGGGUAGCCGGCCUGAGAGGGCGACCGGCCACACUGGGACUGAGACACGGCCCAGACUCCUACGGGAGGCAGCAGUGGGGAAUCUUGCGCAAUGGGCGAAAGCCUGACGCAGCGACGCCGCGUGAGGGAUGACGGCCU
Molecule: ribosomal RNA, 387 nt
Filed under: uncultured bacterium
Lineage: Bacteria
Description: bacterial SSU rRNA
Rfam family: Bacterial small subunit ribosomal RNA
Source: RNAcentral